GUUAAAAAGCUCGUAGUCGGAUUUCAGUAUUAGGCCCUUCUUCCAAUACGGUUGCUAGUGGUCUUUACUUCCUUAACAGAAUCUUUCAUCUCAUUAAUUUGGGGUGUUUGGGGCCUGUUUCUUUUACUUUGAGAAAAUUAGAGUGUUCAAAGCGGGUUUUCGCCUGGAUAUUACUCUUGGAAUAAUAAUAUAGGACUUUGGUUCUUUUUUGUUGGUGACUUAGAACCGAAGUAAUGAUUGAUAGGGACAGUUGGGGUCAUUCGUACUAUGAAGCGAGAGGUGAAAUUCAUGGACCUUUGUAUGACGAACUACUGCGAAAGCAUUUGACUAGGAUGUUCCCGUUGAUCAAGAACGAAAGUUGGGGGAUCGAAGACGAUCAGAUACCGUCGUAGUCUCAACCAUAAACUAUGCCAGCUAGGGAUUGGAGGAAAGAUCAUUUUACGUCUCCUUCAGCACCUUAUGAGAAAUCAAAGCAUUUGGGUUCCGGGGGGAGUAUGGUCGCAAGGCUGAAACUUAAAGGGAUUGACGGGAGGGCACCACCAGGAGUGGAGCCUGCGGCU
This 560-nucleotide ribosomal RNA is filed under the name uncultured marine eukaryote. RNAcentral describes it as "SSU rRNA". It matches the Rfam family "Eukaryotic small subunit ribosomal RNA", at positions 618 to 1190 of the family's 1831-position model. The record is from RNAcentral.